UGGGGAAUUUUGGACAAUGGGCGCAAGCCUGAUCCAGCCAUGCCGCGUGCGGGAAGAAGGCCUUCGGGUUGUAAACCGCUUUUGUCAGGGAAGAAAUCCUUUGGGCUAAUACCUCGGAGGGAUGACGGUACCUGAAGAAUAAGCACCGGCUAACUACGUGCCAGCAGCCGCGGUAAUACGUAGGGUGCAAGCGUUAAUCGGAAUUACUGGGCGUAAAGCGUGCGCAGGCGGUCUUGCAAGACAGAUGUGAAAUCCCCGGGCUCAACCUGGGAACUGCAUUUGUGACUGCAAGGCUAGAGUACGGUAGAGGGGGAUGGAAUUCCGCGUGUAGCAGUGAAAUGCGUAGAUAUGCGGAGGAACACCGAUGGCGAAGGCAAUCCCCUGGACCUGUACUGACGCUCAUGCACGAAAGCGUGGGGAGCAAACA
RNAcentral lists this ribosomal RNA (427 nucleotides) under uncultured bacterium. RNAcentral's name for it is "bacterial SSU rRNA". It matches the Rfam family "Bacterial small subunit ribosomal RNA", at positions 355 to 774 of the family's 1533-position model. The record is from RNAcentral.